AAUUCCCUGGGGUGGCAUCAAGUUGUUUGUACCCUGAGCCGAUAUCCUUAGACAUUGGUUUCUUCCUGAUAGUGGUGUGCAGGCCCGGAUUGCCCGCGGAAGCCUAAAUUAUCAUCUGAGACCAAACUUGAACACACUGGUUCAAGGAGUCAAUAACAGCGGAUCCAUUUUCGGGGAUAUA
This 181-nucleotide non-coding RNA is filed under the name Succinivibrio sp. RNAcentral's name for it is "6S RNA". It matches the Rfam family "6S / SsrS RNA". From Rfam's summary of the family: E. coli 6S RNA was the first non coding RNA to be sequenced, but its function was unknown until recently. Lineage: Bacteria; Pseudomonadati; Pseudomonadota; Gammaproteobacteria; Aeromonadales; Succinivibrionaceae. The record is from RNAcentral.